ACGUACGCUGGCGGCACGCCUAACACAUGCAAGUCGAACGAAGUAGCAAUAGUUAGUGGCAGACGGGUGAGUAACAUGUGGGUAUCUACCCUUUGGCCUGGAAUAACACGAGGAAACUUGUGCUAAUACCGGAUAAGUCUUUACGGAGAAAGCUUUAUGCACCAUUGGAUGAGCCCGCACUUGAUUAGUUUGUUGGUAGGGUAAUGGCCUACCAAGACUAUGAUCAAUAGCUGAUUUGAGAGGAUGAUCAGCCACAUUGGGACUGAGACACGGCCCAAACUCCUACGGGAGGCAGCAGUGGGGAAUCUUGCACAAUGGAGGAAACUCUGAUGCAGCGAUGCCGCGUGAGUGAAGAAGGCCUUUGGGUUGUAAAGCUCUUUCGUCGGGGAAGAAAAUGACUGUACCCGAAUAAGAAGGUCCGGCUAACUUCGUGCCAGCAGCCGCGGUAAUACGAAGGGACCUAGCGUAGUUCGGAAUUACUGGGCUUAAAGAGUUCGUAGGUGGUUGAAAAAGUCGGUGGUGAAAUCCCAGAGCUUAACUCUGGAACUGCCAUCAAAACUUUUCAGCUAGAGUAUGAUAGAGGAAAGCAGAAUUUCUAGUGUAGAGGUGAAAUUCGUAGAUAUUAGAAAGAAUACCAAUUGCGAAGGCGAGCUUUCUGGCUCAUUACUGA
This 670-nucleotide ribosomal RNA is filed under the name alpha proteobacterium IMCC14982. Its description in RNAcentral is "bacterial SSU rRNA". It matches the Rfam family "Bacterial small subunit ribosomal RNA", at positions 29 to 743 of the family's 1533-position model. Lineage: Bacteria; Pseudomonadati; Pseudomonadota; Alphaproteobacteria. The record is from RNAcentral.